RNAcentral lists this ribosomal RNA (466 nucleotides) under uncultured delta proteobacterium. RNAcentral's name for it is "partial 16S ribosomal RNA". Lineage: Bacteria; Deltaproteobacteria. The record is from RNAcentral.
GACUACCGGGGUAUCUAAGCCUGUUUGCUCCCCACGCUUUCGCGCCUGAGCGUCAGUAUCGGGCCAGAAAGUCGCCUUCGCCACCGGUGUUCCUCCUGAUAUCUACGAAUUUCACCUCUACACCAGGAAUUCCACUUUCCUCUCCCGUACUCUAGCGAGGCAGUAUCAAAUGCACUUCCUGGGUUAAGCCCAGGGAUUUCACAUCUGACUUACCAAGCCGCCUGCGCGCGCUUUACGCCCAAUGAUUCCGAACAACGCUUGCACCCCCCGUAUUACCGCGGCUGCUGGCACGGAGUUAGCCGGUGCUUCCUCUGAUGGUACCGUCAAGGAUGGACGAUAUUAGCCCCCAUCCAUUUCUUCCCAUCUGACAGAGCUUUACGACCCGAAGGCCUUCCUCACUCACGCGGCGUUGCUGCGUCAGGGUUUCCCCCAUUGCGCAAGAUUCCUCACUGCAGCCGCCCGUAGG